Molecule: small nucleolar RNA, 74 nt
Organism: Periophthalmus magnuspinnatus
Lineage: Eukaryota; Metazoa; Chordata; Actinopteri; Gobiiformes; Gobiidae
Product: small nucleolar RNA SNORD47
Exons: 1
Source: RefSeq, a predicted model, not a curated record
GACCAGUGAUGCUAAGAUUCUGCCAAAUGAAUUGCUUUGAUUAUGCAUCUUACCGUUCCAACUUGUCUGAGGUC